RNAcentral lists this ribosomal RNA (253 nucleotides) under uncultured bacterium. RNAcentral's name for it is "partial 16S ribosomal RNA". It matches the Rfam family "Bacterial small subunit ribosomal RNA", at positions 524 to 776 of the family's 1533-position model. The record is from RNAcentral.
UACGUAGGGUCCGAGCGUUGUCCGGAAUUAUUGGGCGUAAAGGGCUCGUAGGCGGUUUGUCGCGUCGGGAGUGAAAACACGGGGCUUAACCCCGUGCCUGCUUCCGAUACGGGCAGACUAGAGGUAUGCAGGGGAGAACGGAAUUCCUGGUGUAGCGGUGAAAUGCGCAGAUAUCAGGAGGAACACCGGUGGCGAAGGCGGAUCUCUGGGCCAUUACUGACGCUGAGGAGCGAAAGCGUGGGGAGCGAACAGG